CCUACGGGUGGCAGCAGUGAGGAAUAUUGGUCAAUGGCCGAGAGGCUGAACCAGCCAAGUCGCGUGAGGGAAGAAUGUCCUAUGGAUUGUAAACCUCUUUUGUCAGGGAGCAAAGUCACCCACGUGUGGGUGUUGGAGAGUACCUGAAGAAAAAGCAUCGGCUAACUCCGUGCCAGCAGCCGCGGUAAUACGGAGGAUGCGAGCGUUAUCCGGAAUGAUUGGGCGUAAAGGGUGCGUAGGCGGCCUGCUAAGUCUGGGGUGAAAGGUACCGGCUCAACCGGUAUAGGCUCUGGAAACUGGCGGGCUAGAGAGCAGGAGAGGGCGGUGGAACUCCAUGUGUAGCGGUAAAAUGCGUAGAUAUAUGGAAGAACACCAGUGGCGAAGGCGGCCGCCUGGCCUGUUACUGACGCUGAGGCACGAAAGCGUGGGGAGCAAAUAGGAUUAGAUACCCUUGUAGUC
Molecule: ribosomal RNA, 459 nt
Filed under: uncultured bacterium
Lineage: Bacteria
Description: partial 16S ribosomal RNA
Rfam family: Bacterial small subunit ribosomal RNA
Source: RNAcentral